GAGUUGUAGGCAUGGCUGACACUGGUAUGCAUGGAGCUCUUUGCCGGAGAAAUCUAAAGGCAUGAAUAAGCCAAUGGGAGCUCUUAGCAUGGCUGAACGAUAUGGUUGGCCUCGACAAGUUGGAAGACAACUUGGGUGAAAAGAUGAAAGAUGGAUUUCAACGAAGAGCGUCUGGUUUUGUCAGAAAAAGAUGUCUUCCCUACUUGGCUGUGAGCUCAUUCACAAUAUAGAUCAUAUUCUACCUUGGCAUCCUGGUAUGUAGCAGAGAAUCAGUAAGUGCCUGCUGGAUUGAUUUGAAUGCCAACGUCACAGGUAUCUCAGAAGACUCACAAGCCUGAGUAUACAGGGUAAGGAAAAAAUUGAGAUUAGCUCUACUUUCCCAGCCUUCUGAUGCCAGAGGCAUGAAAGACCUCAAAUAUGAAAAGGUUUCUAAUUUGAGAUGUUCCAGUGGAGUCCAUUUUCCUCUUAAUUUAUUUUUGGCUGAUUUGGA
This is a long non-coding RNA of Neofelis nebulosa (Clouded leopard), 490 nucleotides long. RefSeq lists it as uncharacterized. The transcript has 3 exons. The record is from RefSeq and is a predicted model, not a curated record. NCBI's taxonomy places the organism in Eukaryota, Metazoa, Chordata, Mammalia, Carnivora, Felidae.